This 253-nucleotide ribosomal RNA is filed under the name uncultured bacterium. RNAcentral describes it as "partial 16S ribosomal RNA". It matches the Rfam family "Bacterial small subunit ribosomal RNA", at positions 524 to 776 of the family's 1533-position model. The record is from RNAcentral.
UACGUAGGUGGCAAGCGUUGUCCGGAAUCACUGGGCGUAAAGCGCGCGCAGGCGGCGAUCUACGUCUGGGGUGAAAGCCCGGAGCUCAACUCCGGGACUGCCUUGGAUACGGGAUCGCUUGAGGAUUGGAGAGGCAAGGGGAAUUCCACGUGUAGCGGUGAAAUGCGUAGAGAUGUGGAGGAACACCUGUGGCGAAGGCGCCUUGCUGGCCAAUUACUGACGCUGAGGCGCGAAAGCGUGGGGAGCGAACAGG